This is a non-coding RNA of Exophiala sp. CCFEE 6388, 138 nucleotides long. The record is from the annotation of a GenBank genome assembly. NCBI's taxonomy places the organism in Eukaryota, Fungi, Ascomycota, Eurotiomycetes, Chaetothyriales, Herpotrichiellaceae.
GGCUGGGUGGUGUAGCUUGGUUAUGUGAGUUCUGCUCCUGUUCAAAUUCAUCUCGCAGUCACUAAUAUUGUCAAAGCACAUCUCUUUAACAAGAAAUUAUAACAGAGAAGGUCCUCAGUUCAAAUCUGGGCCUAGUCA